AUGGUGCCGCUGAUGCAAAAGGUUUUUGUACGGCGGCUCAAUGAGUUUGUAUCACUGUGGUACACAUUCGGUGGAGGAACCAGACUGGAUAUUGGAAGUGUUGUCCGUCCCACCCUGACGGUGCUGCCCCCCUCCAGCGAGGAGCUGCAGCAGGGGAAGGCCACGCUCAUAUGUCUGGCCAACAAGGGCUUCCCCUCAGACUGGAGUCUGGCCUGGAAGGUGGACUGCAGCAGCAGCAGCAGCAGCGGGGAGGAGAGCAGGAGCCCCGGGGUGCUGCAGAAGGACGGCCGCUACAGCUGGAGCAGCACCCUGAGGCUCCCUGCAGACCAGUGGAGGAAGGUGGGCUCUGUGACCUGUGAGGCCACCCAGGGCUCCCAGACUCCAGUCUCAGAGACACUGAGGAGAGACCAGUGUUCCCAGUCCUGACCUGACUCACUGGGACUCUGCUACUGGUUUUACUCUGCUACUGCUCUCACUCUGAUCUCUAAUCAGAACAGUGUAACAUUGUGUAACUUCAAACUGUAACAACUGCAUUAUUGUAGUACUGAUGACUUAGAUGCUUCAAACAAUAAACAUUUUCUCUCUUGAAAUCAAAUAUUUUUUCUGUGGAUGUUUGACACCAACAAUACAUGCAGGAUUAUAACUCUUUCUUGAUCUUAAUCUUGGGAUUAUAUAAAGUAUUGUUACAUAUCUAUGAAGUCUUUGAGUCUCAACUGACAGUGUGUCUGUUUAGCAGUGGUAUCAUAAAUCAUUGUGUAAAACAUGGUGUUAAUGGAAGGAUGAAAGGAUCCCAUAAUUUUAAAAUCCUUUCAAAAUGUAGUUUACAUUAAUAGAGUUUUGAGGAUUAGAAACAAAGUGCAGAGUAUUGUCAGCAAAAGAUGAUAUCACCUGGUUCUUCUUUUACACCAAAGGUUUCCAUGUCAGUAUGUUUGUUGCAUGUUUCUUUAAGAAUACCAAAAGAACACCUCUGAUGUGUUUUUAUUU
Non-coding RNA from Thunnus maccoyii (southern bluefin tuna), 984 nucleotides. Lineage: Eukaryota; Metazoa; Chordata; Actinopteri; Scombriformes; Scombridae. The record is from the annotation of a RefSeq genome assembly.